GAGUAAGGACCGCUGAAAAUCUGUUGUUCCAUAAAAACAAUGAUAACACUAAAAGUUGUCAAAAUCAACUUUGUCAGAACUCUAAAAAAAAAAAAAACUAAAAGCUUCCAGUAGUCUAAAAAGCAUUUAUUCAACAGAAACUGUAACAAAAUGGUUUGUAACAUUUUAAAUUUCCCUGUCCAUAUUUCCUCAGUUCUAGGUCAGCUUUGAAAACAAGCAACCUUGCAACUGUUAAAACCAGCAGCCUAGUAACCACUGGAGGGAACUUGAAGCACCACAAAAAGCCCACUCUAGAGAAUUGUCACUAUUUGACCUGUCUGGUAUCUCACUGAAAAGCUCUGUAUUCUAAAGAGUUCUGUCUUUAUUUGACCUGACUCCACUCACUCUGCAAAGAUCUGUAUCUUUACCCUGUUUACCAUAGAAGCUACUUGAGGCUGUGAUAACAAUUGAGGCUAAACAGAUGCUGACCAAAAACAAAAACAAAAAAAUGUCAUGUCUGUAGAGGGCUUUGAAAAGUUCCAGCAUAAUUCCUGGGAAUCUAGAAGGCUGCAUGUAUAAGAUAUAUGCAUACCCAAAAGAAAAAGCAUUAAUCUAACCUGUGACAGAACUUGAGGCUCUGUGAGUAGGAAGUGAAAGCUAAGGCAGUUGUAAACUGCAUGUUGAAGUGUUGAAGGCAUAGCCCAAUAGUUUCAAAGAGCACUUCUUCAAGAUUGGGAGAGUUAACUGUUUAAAGGCAUUAAAGAACAUUGCUGUCCAAUCAUUAGCUGACCUCUAAGCUAACAAAAUGGAGAAAGAAAUGGCAACCCACUCCAGUUUUCUUGCCUGGAGAAUUUCACGAACAGAGGAGCCUGGCAGGCUUUUGUCCUUGGGGUCGCAGAGUUGGACACAACUGAGCAAAUAUCAUUCACAUUUAAGCUAGCAAAACAGAAUAUAAUGGUCACACACAGCAAAAAAAUGCAGACUUUACAGAGUCAGUCCAAGAAGUUCUAACGCAGCAAAACCUGAGGAGGGGAAGGGAUUCCUUGUUCAGAGUUGGCAUGUUAUAUUAUUUUAAAUGUUUAGUUCUCAACAAAAAUUUACAAGACUUGGAAAGAAAGUGUCUGGGACAAAGCCCAGGUGUUGAAGUUUUUAAGUAAAAUUUUGUUAGCCUUUAAAAGCUUGUUCAGAGAACUAGAAGAAACCAUGUCUUAAAAGCUAAAUUUGAGAAUAAUCUUUCUCCAAAUAGAGAAUAACAAUAAAGAUAAAUUAUGAUAAAAGAAGCAAAUAGAAAUCCUGAUUGGAAAACUGUAACAGGUGAAAUAAAUUGAGUAGAGUCCCUCAAAAGCAGAUUUGAACUGCUAAAAAUAUUCAACAAAUUUGAACAGAGGUAUUACUUGAGAGUAGCCUAAUCAGAAAAAAAGGAAUAGAAACACAGUAUUGUAAAUCAGCUAUAUUGUAAUAUGAAAUAAAAUUUAAAGGAAUAAAGGGGGAAAACUACAGAGAUCUCUGGGACACUAUCAAGUAUAAUAGCAUAAUGGAGGUCCUAGAAGGAGAGAAGGGGUUACAGUAUAUUUGGAGAAAUAAUUGCCCCAAACUUCAGAAUUUACAGAAAAGAAUAUGCACAUCUGAGAAGCCUAACUACUGCUAAAUAAGACUGGGUUUGAGAAACAGCAAGAGAAAAGUGAUCACAUAUGAGGACUCUCUAAUAAGAUUAACAGCUUGCUUCUCAUAGGAAAGUCAUGGAGGCCCAGAGGCUUUGCAGGAAAAAGUCAACCUAGAAUUCUAUAUGCAGCAAAAUUACUCCUCAAAAAUGAAAGAAAUUAAGAUGGUCACACAUAAAAACAGAGCAAAUUUGUCAGUAGCAGACCUGCCUACCCUAUAGGAAAUACUGAAGAAUCCUUCAGGAAGAAAUGAAAGGACGUUAGAUAGUAAGUUGAAUCCACAUAAAUAGUAGCACUGGUAAAGUUAACUGCGUAAUGAAACAUGAAGCACGGUAGGGACUUUUCGAUUGUCCAGUGGCUAAGACUCCAUGUUCCCAAUGCAGGGGGCCCACGUUUGAUCACUACUCAGGGUUGAUUUCCCUUAAGAUUGACUGGUUUGAGCUCCUUGCUGUCCAGGGGACUCUCAAGAGCCUUCUCCAGCACCACAGCUUGAAAACAUUAAUUCUUCAUCUCUGCCUGCCUUAUGGCCCAGCUCUCACAUCCAUACAUGACUGCUGGAAAGACCUCAUAGCCUUGACUAUACAGAUCUUUGUCGGCAAAGUGAUGUCUUUGUUUUGUAACACACAGUCUAGGUUUGUCAUAGCUUUUCUGCCAAGAGGCAAUCUUCUAAUUUCAUGGCUUCAGUCACCAUCUGCGAUGAUUUUAGAGCCUAAGAGGAAAUCUGUCACUGCUUUCUUUCCCUUCUAUUUGCAGUGAAGUGAUGGGACUGGAUGCCAUGAUGUUAGUUUUUUUUAAUAUUGAGUAUUAAGCCAGCUUUUUCACUCGCCUCCUUCACCCACCCUUACUAAGAGGCUGUUUAGUUCCUCUUUGCUUUCUGCCGUUACAGUGAAAUCCCCCUUCAUGGAUCACUGCCUCGUCAUGGUGAAAUUACAGCUAUUGAUGUUUAUAUUUACAAAGCAGAUCUUAAAACCUAAUCUUCUACCUUGAAAAUCUAUUGCCAUUAAUUCCUGAUAGGUGUGUACUUACUGCC
This is a long non-coding RNA of Bos taurus (domestic cattle), 2670 nucleotides long. The record is from Ensembl. NCBI's taxonomy places the organism in Eukaryota, Metazoa, Chordata, Mammalia, Artiodactyla, Bovidae.